RNAcentral lists this ribosomal RNA (482 nucleotides) under uncultured bacterium. RNAcentral's name for it is "bacterial SSU rRNA". It matches the Rfam family "Bacterial small subunit ribosomal RNA", at positions 30 to 507 of the family's 1533-position model. The record is from RNAcentral.
AUUAAACGCUGGCGGCAUGCCUUACACAUGCAAGUCGAACGGCAGCACGGGGCAACCUGGUGGCGAGUGGCGAACGGGUGAGGAAUACAUGGGAAUCUGCCCAGUCGUGGGGGAUAACGUAGGGAAACUUACGCUAAUACCGCAUGCGCCCUUCGGGGGAAAGCCGGGGACCUUCGGGCCUGGCGCGAUUGGAUGAGCCCAUGUCGGAUUAGCUAGUUGGCGGGGUAAUGGCCCACCAAGGCGACGAUCCGUAGCUGGUCUGAGAGGAUGAUCAGCCACACUGGAACUGAGACACGGUCCAGACUCCUACGGGAGGCAGCAGUAGGGAAUAUUGGACAAUGGGCGCAAGCCUGAUCCAGCCAUGCCGCGUGAGUGAAGAAGGCCCUCGGGUUGUAAAGCUCUUUUGUCCGGAAAGAAAAGCGCCGGGUUAAUACCCUGGUGUCCUGACGGUACCGGAAGAAUAAGCACCGGCUAACUUCGUG